RNAcentral lists this long non-coding RNA (964 nucleotides) under Olea europaea (common olive). RNAcentral's name for it is "long non-coding RNA (OEUR_LNC013079)". Lineage: Eukaryota; Viridiplantae; Streptophyta; Magnoliopsida; Lamiales; Oleaceae. The record is from RNAcentral.
AAAUAAGCAAAAGUUAAUUUAAGUACUCUGUUUUCAAACACGUUUAAAAAUGUUACAAUUUUCUUACUUUCAUGUAAAAAGUAUUACUUAUUUUGAAGUUAAGUAAAAGUUAAUUUUUCAAACACGUUUAAAAAUGUUACAAUUUUCUUACUUUCAGGUAAAAAGUAUUACUUAUUUUGAAGUUAACUCUUACCUUAAUUCAAAAUAAGUUACUUAUUUUCCACUUAUGGCCUUUGAUAUGGUUGCAGCUUCUGCGUAUUGAAGAGGAACUUGGAAAUGUUCGUUAUGCUGGUGAAGCUUUCAGAAGUCCUUAAGCAAAGAGUAACUUCAACUUAUCUUCUAUUUAAACGAGAUCGGUUUAUUACGAUGCUACAACAUUAGUUCUCUGAAAGAAUAUGGAGUCUUGGCAUACUAUAGAGUUCUUUGCAUAUCUUGUCCACUUGAAUCCCAUAAGCCUGGCAUAAUAUCGUAAAAGAAAGGCAUAGAGAAUUUUGUGAUUCUGCUACCGGCUUAAUCUGGUUCUGUGAUUUGUAUUUUCCUUUUUAACGACAAACUUUCUGUCCAAUCUAAGCGAGGACUUGUAGUUUGAGAGACAACGAAUGAUUUUCUGCAGUGGGGUGUGAUAUUCUGGUUAUUUGGAUGCAAGCAUGUUCAGAAUGCAUGGGCUGUUCGUAUUUUUCUUAUAAUUUUGUGUUUCUUGACGUGCUCAUCAAAAAAGCUUUUAUCAUAUCGCUUAAGUUACGUACAAUGCUAGACCAGAUAAUACAACCUACAAAGCAAGCAAAAGUUUCUAAUUUCAUUUAGAUAUAAAACUACUUCAACCAGGUAUCAUGUUGUUUGGAUACCCUGAUACGUUACAAGAUUUUGCUUAAACUAGAAAUCCACUAAGAGGAAUAACUGAAACAAACUCACAUCUACGAACAUACGAAUUAUAAUUCAAGUGAAGACGAGGAGAAAAGAGGGA